GACGAACGCUGGCGGCGUGCUUAACACAUGCAAGUCGAACGGAAAGGCCCUGCUUGCAGGGUGCUCGAGUGGCGAACGGGUGAGUAACACGUGGGUGAUCUGCCCCUUACUUUGGGGUAAGCCUGGGAAACUGGGUCUAAUACUGGAUAGGACCAUGCUGUAGGUGGUGUGGUGGAAAGAUUAGUUUCGGUAAGGGAUGAGCUCGCGGCCUAUCAGCUUGUUGGUGGGGUAAUGGCCUACCAAGGCGUCGACGGGUAGCCGGCCUGAGAGGGUGGACGGCCACAUUGGGACUGAGAUACGGCCCAGACUCCUACGGGAGGCAGCAGUGGGGAAUAUUGCACAAUGGGCGCAAGCCUGAUGCAGCGACGCCGCGUGGGGGAUGACGGCCUUCGGGUUGUAAACUCCUUUCAGCCAUGACGAAGCCCUUGUGGUGACGGUAGUGGUAGAAGAAGCACCGGCUAACUACGUG
Molecule: ribosomal RNA, 469 nt
Filed under: uncultured bacterium
Lineage: Bacteria
Description: partial 16S ribosomal RNA
Rfam family: Bacterial small subunit ribosomal RNA
Source: RNAcentral